GGAGAGGUCGCACAGUCUGGUUUAGUGCCGCGGUUUGCUAAACCGUUAAGGGGGUUAAUACCUCCUUCCUGGGUUCGAAUCCCAGCCUCUCCGCCA
This 96-nucleotide transfer RNA is filed under the name Candidatus Omnitrophota bacterium. RNAcentral's name for it is "tRNA-Ser". It matches the Rfam family "tRNA". From Rfam's summary of the family: Transfer RNA (tRNA) molecules are approximately 80 nucleotides in length. Their secondary structure includes four short double-helical elements and three loops (D, anti-codon, and T loops). Further hydrogen bonds mediate the characteristic L-shaped molecular structure. tRNAs have two regions of fundamental functional importance: the anti-codon, which is responsible for specific mRNA codon recognition, and the 3' end, to which the tRNAs corresponding amino acid is attached (by aminoacyl-tRNA synthetases). tRNAs cope with the degeneracy of the genetic code in two manners: having more than one tRNA (with a specific anti-codon) for a particular amino acid; and 'wobble' base-pairing, i.e. permitting non-standard base-pairing at the 3rd anti-codon position. Lineage: Bacteria; Pseudomonadati; Candidatus Omnitrophota. The record is from RNAcentral.